Molecule: ribosomal RNA, 482 nt
Filed under: uncultured fungus
Lineage: Eukaryota; Fungi
Description: bacterial SSU rRNA
Rfam family: Eukaryotic small subunit ribosomal RNA
Source: RNAcentral
CAAAUUUCUGCCCUAUCAACUUUCGAUGGUAGAGUAGUGGUCUACCAUGGUUUCAACGGGUAACGGGGAAUUAGGGUUCUAUUCCGGAGAGGGAGCCUGAGAAACGGCUACCACAUCCAAGGAAGGCAGCAGGCGCGCAAAUUACCCAAUCCCAAUUCGGGGAGGUAGUGACAAUAAAUAACAAUAUAGGGCUCUUUUGGGUCUUAUAAUUGGAAUGAGUACAAUUUAAAUCACUUAACGAGGAACAAUUGGAGGGCAAGUCUGGUGCCAGCAGCCGCGGUAAUUCCAGCUCCAAUAGCGUAUAUUAAAGUUGUUGCAGUUAAAAAGCUCGUAGUUGAAAUUUGGGCCUGGACGGGCGGUCCGCGAAAGGGAUGAACUGGUCUGGCUGGGUCUUUCCUCUUGGUGAAUCGGGAGUGUCCUUCACUUGGUGCCAGUCCGGGGGGAAACCAAGGGGAACAUUUUACCCUUUGGAGGAAAAAUUA